Molecule: ribosomal RNA, 253 nt
Filed under: uncultured bacterium
Lineage: Bacteria
Description: partial 16S ribosomal RNA
Rfam family: Bacterial small subunit ribosomal RNA
Source: RNAcentral
UACGUAGGGCGCAAGCGUUAUCCGGAAUUAUUGGGCGUAAAGAGCUCGUAGGCGGUUUGUCGCGUCUGCCGUGAAAGUCCGGGGCUCAACUCCGGAUCUGCGGUGGGUACGGGCAGACUAGAGUGAUGUAGGGGAGACUGGAAUUCCUGGUGUAGCGGUGAAAUGCGCAGAUAUCAGGAGGAACACCAGUGGCGAAGGCGGUGCUCUGGGCCGGAACUGACGCUGAGGAGCGAAAGCAUGGGGAGCGAACAGG